RNAcentral lists this transfer RNA (76 nucleotides) under Minisyncoccota bacterium. RNAcentral's name for it is "tRNA-Thr". It matches the Rfam family "tRNA". Rfam says of the family: Transfer RNA (tRNA) molecules are approximately 80 nucleotides in length. Their secondary structure includes four short double-helical elements and three loops (D, anti-codon, and T loops). The record is from RNAcentral. Lineage: Bacteria; Bacillati; Minisyncoccota.
GCCGAAGUAGCUCAGUUGGUAGAGCAAUCCCUUCGUAAGGGAUGGGUCGCCGGUUCAAUUCCGGCCUUCGGCUCCA